RNAcentral lists this unclassified non-coding RNA (165 nucleotides) under uncultured Leotiomycetes. RNAcentral describes it as "sequence contains ITS1". The record is from RNAcentral. Lineage: Eukaryota; Fungi; Ascomycota; Leotiomycetes.
CAGAGACAUUGCCCUUUGGGGUAGAUCUCCCACCCUUUGUUUACAUUACCUUUGUUGCUUUGGCAGGCCCGUCCUUGGACCACCGGCUUAGGCUGGUCCGUGCCUGCCAGAGGACCUUAAACUCUUGAUUUUUUGUGUUGUCUGAGUAAAUAUUAUAAUAAGUUA